RNAcentral lists this non-coding RNA (30 nucleotides) under Homo sapiens (human). Lineage: Eukaryota; Metazoa; Chordata; Mammalia; Primates; Hominidae. The record is from RNAcentral.
UCCGCUGCUUGUGAAUUAUGUGAUGCUCUC